UACGUAGGGCGCAAGCGUUGUCCGGAAUUAUUGGGCGUAAAGAGCGUGUAGGCGGCUUUACAGGUCCGUUGUAAAAACUCGAGGCUCAACCUCGAGACGCCGGUGGAAACCGUAAAGCUAGAGUCCGGAAGAGGAGAGUGGAAUUCCUGGUGUAGCGGUGAAAUGCGCAGAUAUCAGGAGGAACACCCGUGGCGAAAGCGGCUCUCUGGGACGGUACUGACGCUGAGACGCGAAAGCGUGGGGAGCAAACAGG
RNAcentral lists this ribosomal RNA (253 nucleotides) under uncultured bacterium. RNAcentral describes it as "partial 16S ribosomal RNA". It matches the Rfam family "Bacterial small subunit ribosomal RNA", at positions 524 to 776 of the family's 1533-position model. The record is from RNAcentral.